Small nuclear RNA from Mustela putorius furo (domestic ferret), 98 nucleotides. The record is from Ensembl. Lineage: Eukaryota; Metazoa; Chordata; Mammalia; Carnivora; Mustelidae.
GUUCUUGGUACACAUACUAAAAUCGGAAGGUGCAGAGAAGAUUAGCAUGGCCCCUGUGCAAGGAUGACCUACAAAUUCCUGAGGAGCUCCAUAUAAUU